UAAGCAUAUCAAUAAGCGGAGGAAAAGAAACCAACAGGGAUUCCCUUAGUAACGGCGAGUGAACCGGGAAAAGCUCAAAUUUGAAAUCUGCCAACAGGCCGAGUUGUAAUUUGUAGAUGGCUACACUGCAUAAUAGUAGAUGCUCAAGUUCUUUGGAAAAAGACAUCAUGGAGGGUGACAAUCCCGUGAGGCAUGUUACUAGGAGCAUAUAGUGGGCUUUCUAAGAGUCGAGUUGUUUGGGAAUGCAGCUCAAAGUGCGUGGUGAAUACCAUGUAAAGCUAAAUAUGGACGAGAGACCGAUAGCGAACAAGUACUGUGAAGGAAAGAUGAAAAGCACUCCGAAAGGAGAGUGAAAUAGUACGUGAAAUUGUUAAAGUGGAAGGGCUUGAGAUCAGAAUUGGUAGUUUGGGUUCCACGUCCUCUUGGGGGCGUGUACUCCCUUUCCACCGGGCCAGCGGGAGUUUCGUCUCUUGGGUAAAAGCAGUGGAAUGUAGCAGCUUGUCUGUAUUAUAGCCUCUGUUCAUACAAGACGUCGAGACUUGUUUUUGUUGGCGUAAUGAUCUCUAGCCACC
This 572-nucleotide ribosomal RNA is filed under the name Wickerhamiella pararugosa. RNAcentral's name for it is "LSU rRNA". It matches the Rfam family "Eukaryotic large subunit ribosomal RNA", at positions 35 to 649 of the family's 3401-position model. Lineage: Eukaryota; Fungi; Ascomycota; Dipodascomycetes; Dipodascales; Trichomonascaceae. The record is from RNAcentral.